Molecule: ribosomal RNA, 511 nt
Filed under: Eurema brigitta (small grass yellow)
Lineage: Eukaryota; Metazoa; Arthropoda; Insecta; Lepidoptera; Pieridae
Description: partial 16S ribosomal RNA
Source: RNAcentral
GUUUUUUUGAAAAUAAUAUAAAGUUUAAUUUGCCCCCUGAAUAAUUUUAAAGGGCUGCAGUAUAUUGACUGUACAAAGGUAGCAUAAUCAAUAGUCUUUUAAUUGAAGACUUGUAUGAAUGAUUUGAUGAAAUAUAAACUGUCUCUUUAUUAAAAAUAAAAUUUAAUUUUUUAGUUAAAAAGCUAAAAUAAAUAUAAAAGACGAGAAGACCCUAUAGAGUUUUAUAAUUAUUAUGAUUUAUUGCAAUUUAUAUAUUUUAAAAAUAAAUUAUAAUGAAUAUUUUAUUGGGGUGAUAGAAAAAUUUAAUAAACUUUUUUUAAAAAAUUAAACAUUGAUUUAUGAAAAUAUGAUCCAUAAUUUAUGAUUACAAGAAUUAAUUACCUUAGGGAUAACAGCGUAAUUUUUUUUUUUAGUCCGAAUAAAAAAAAAAGUUUGCGACCUCGAUGUUGGAUUAAGAUAAAAUUUAAAUGCAAAAGUUUAAAAUUUUGAUCUGUUCGAUCAUUAAAAUCUU